RNAcentral lists this ribosomal RNA (400 nucleotides) under Lynx lynx (Eurasian lynx). RNAcentral describes it as "partial small subunit ribosomal RNA". It matches the Rfam family "Bacterial small subunit ribosomal RNA", at positions 788 to 1384 of the family's 1533-position model. Lineage: Eukaryota; Metazoa; Chordata; Mammalia; Carnivora; Felidae. The record is from RNAcentral.
CACUAUGCUUAGCCCUAAACCUAGAUAGUUAACCUAAACAAAAUUAUCCGCCAGAGAACUACUAGCAACAGCUUAAAACUCAAAGGACUUGGCGGUGCUUUACAUCCCUCUAGAGGAGCCUGUUCUAUAAUCGAUAAACCCCGAUACACCUCACCAUCUCUUGCUAAUUCAGCCUAUAUACCGCCAUCUUCAGCAAACCCUAAAAAGGAAUAAAAGUAAGCACAAGUAUCUUAACACAAAAAAGUUAGGUCAAGGUGUAGCCCAUGAGAUGGGAAGUAAUGGGCUACAUUUUCUAAAACUAGAACAUCCACGAAAAUCCUUAUGAAACUAAGUAUUAAAGGAGGAUUUAGUAGUAAAUUUGAGAAUAGAGAGCUCAAUUGAAUCGGGCCAUGAAGCACGC